Molecule: ribosomal RNA, 302 nt
Filed under: uncultured bacterium
Lineage: Bacteria
Description: bacterial SSU rRNA
Rfam family: Bacterial small subunit ribosomal RNA
Source: RNAcentral
AAUCAACGCUGGCGGCGUGCCUAACACAUGCAAGUCGAACGCGAAAAGGGGCAACCCUGAGUAGAGUGGCGUCCGGGUGAGUAACACGUGGAUAAUCUACCUGCGGGUGGGAAUAACUUUCCGAAGGGAAGCUAAUACUGCAUAACACUAAGUGGUGGCAUCACCAAAUAGUCAAAGUGGGGGAUCGCAAGACCUCACGGCCUGUAGAGGAGUCCGCGGCCGAUUAGCUAGNGGUGAGGUACAGCUCACCAAGGCGACUAUCGGUAGCCGGCCUGAGAGGGCGAACGGCCACACUGGCACUG